GGGCCCGCACAAGCGGAGGAACAUGUGGUUUAAUUCGAUGAUACGCGAGGAACCUUACCUGGGCUUAAAUGUAGAACGACGUUUCGAGAAAUCGAAAUUCCCUUCGGGGCGUUUUACAAGGUGCUGCAUGGUUGUCGUCAGCUCGUGCCGUGAGGUGUCGGGUUAAGUCCCAUAACGAGCGCAACCCUUAUCGUUAGUUGCCAGCGGGUAAUGCCGGGGACUCUAGCGAAACUGCCGGUGUAAACCGAGAGGAAGGUGGGGAUGACGUCAAAUCAGCACGGCCCUUAUGUCCAGGGCUACACACGUGUUACAAUGGCCGGUACAGAGGGCAGCUACUGGGUGACCAGAUGCAAAUCUCGAAAGCCGGUCCUAGUUCGGAUCGAAGUCUGCAACUCGACUUCGUGAAGCUGGAUUCGCUAGUAAUCGCGUAUCAGCAACGACGCGGUGAAUACGUUCCCGGGCCUU
RNAcentral lists this ribosomal RNA (465 nucleotides) under uncultured bacterium. Its description in RNAcentral is "bacterial SSU rRNA". It matches the Rfam family "Bacterial small subunit ribosomal RNA", at positions 917 to 1382 of the family's 1533-position model. The record is from RNAcentral.